AAACACGGGGGUGGGGAAGCCCGGUGCAAUCCUACACGGAGGAGGACGAUUUAACAUUCACUCCCGUGGAACUAAUUAGGAGCCUUUGUGGUGGGCGUCCCCCUGAAACGACACAACUUGAUUUAUCUGCAUCGGGGGUCACAGAUCACGUUAAGGUCAACCUGACCUAUCGACAACCCCGCUGAAACCAGAGCCACAAAACUGCUAACCAGGGACAUCCAUACCUCCACAUCCUUGUCCUUCUGCAGCAGAGAUGAAGACAGCUCCUGCACUU
Molecule: long non-coding RNA, 274 nt
Organism: Solea senegalensis (Senegalese sole)
Lineage: Eukaryota; Metazoa; Chordata; Actinopteri; Pleuronectiformes; Soleidae
Exons: 3
Source: RefSeq, a predicted model, not a curated record